GUUUUAACUCCAACCCUGUUCCUGGAGAGAAACCCUCCUGUAUGUUUUAACUCCAACCCUGUUCCUGGAGAGAGACCCUCCUGUAGGUUUUAACUCCAACCCUGUUCCUGGAGAGAGACCCUCCUGUAGGUUUUAACUCCAACCCUCCUGUAGGUUUUAACUCCAACCCUGUUCCUGGAGAGAAACCCUCCUGUAGGUUUUAACUCCAACCCUGUUUCUGGAUAACUACCCUCCUGUAGGUUUUAACUCCGACCCUGUUCCUGGAGAGAGACCCUCCUGUAGGUUUUAAUUAAAGACUAAGAAUGCAUGCUGCGUAUUUAUUAAUUAAAAUACUGUAACAAUGCCUGGUGCUUAUUUAUUAAUUAAAAGAAUGCAGCAAUAUAUGGUGCUUAAUUAUAAAUAAAUCUGCUGUGUUUUGACCCCAUUAAA
Salvelinus fontinalis (brook trout) is the source of this 429-nucleotide long non-coding RNA. RefSeq lists it as uncharacterized. The transcript is spliced from 2 exons. Lineage: Eukaryota; Metazoa; Chordata; Actinopteri; Salmoniformes; Salmonidae. The record is from RefSeq and is a predicted model, not a curated record.